GGCCUACUUCGCCGACCAGAACAGGAUGGGCCGCAUGAGUUCCGACCAGAGGGAAGGGCUGGAUCGCAUGCUCAAGUCGGGGAUCAUGGAACGCCACAUGGCCGAGACGGGCGUCGACCCCAGAAACGUCUGGAUUGCUCCGCCCACGAUACUUGAUAACCCGGAUAAGGACCCCAGUGAGU
Molecule: long non-coding RNA, 182 nt
Organism: Lolium rigidum
Lineage: Eukaryota; Viridiplantae; Streptophyta; Magnoliopsida; Poales; Poaceae
Exons: 3
Source: RefSeq, a predicted model, not a curated record